GAUGAACGCUGGCGGCGUGCCUAAUACAUGCAAGUCGAGCGAACGGACGAGAAGCUUGCUUCUCUGAUGUUAGCGGCGGACGGGUGAGUAACACGUGGAUAACCUACCUAUAAGACUGGGAUAACUUCGGGAAACCGGAGCUAAUACCGGAUAAUAUUUUGAACCGCAUGGUUCAAAAGUGAAAGACGGUCUUGCUGUCACUUAUAGAUGGAUCCGCGCUGCAUUAGCUAGUUGGUAAGGUAACGGCUUACCAAGGCAACGAUGCAUAGCCGACCUGAGAGCGUGAUCGGCCACACUGGAACUGAGACACGGUCCAGACUCCUACGGGAGGAAGCAGUAGGGAAUCUUCCGCAAUGGGCGAAAGCCUGACGGAGCAACGCCGCGUGAGUGAUGAAGGUCUUCGGAUCGUAAAACUCUGUUAUUAGGGAAGAACAUAUGUGUAAGUAACUGUGCACAUCUUGACGGUACCUAAUCAGAAAGCCACGGCUAACUACGUG
This 497-nucleotide ribosomal RNA is filed under the name uncultured bacterium. RNAcentral describes it as "partial 16S ribosomal RNA". It matches the Rfam family "Bacterial small subunit ribosomal RNA", at positions 28 to 507 of the family's 1533-position model. The record is from RNAcentral.